AUGCCGGUCGCCGUGGCUGCCUCCGGCGACACAAACGUCGUGGAGGACCUCUACGGCAUCCUCCGUGUACUCAGCGACGGCACGGUUGUCCGGUCACCGGACCCGCCGGAGUUUUGCCCCAUCACCUUCCCCUGCGACCACCCUUCCGUGCAGUGGAAGGAGGCCGUCUACGAUAAGGGCAAGAACCUCCGCGUCCGCAUGUACAAGCCGUCGGGCGGCGGUGAGCAGGCCGGCCGGAAGCUGCCGGUGCUCGUCCACUUCCAUGGCGGGGGCUUCUGUCUCGGCUCGUGCACGUGGGGAAACUUCCACAGCUUCUGCCUCCGCCUCGCCGCGGAGGCCGGCGCCGUCGUGCUCUCCGCCGGGUACCGCCUCGCUCCGGAGCACCGCCUCCCCGCGGCCCUCGACGAUGCGACCGGCUUCUUAGAAUGGCUCCGCGAGCAAUCCGUGAGCACCGAGGCCGAGGACGGGUGGCUCACGGAGGCGGCCGACUUUGGCCGCGUGUUCAUCACCGGCGACUCGGCGGGCGGGACCUUAGCGCACCACCUCGCCGUGCGCGCCGGGUCGGCCACGCCCAAACACGGCGAUGACGUCGACUCUGUCACGAUCAAAGGCUACAUCCUGCUAAUGCCGUUCUUCGGCGGCGUGGACCGGACGCGGUCGGAGGCGCUGGAGUUCCUGUUGGCGGAAGAGCCGUUCCUCAACCUGGCCGUGCUGGACCGAUUCUGGCGGCUCUCGCUGCCGGAGGGCGCCAGCAGGGACCACCCGAUCGCGAACCCGUUCGGGGCGGACAGCCCUGGGCUGGGCUCGGUGGAGUUCCCGCCGGUCCUCGUCGUUUCCAGCGGCACCGACUUGCUGCACGACCGCACCGUCGACUACGCGGAGCGGCUGGCCGGGAUGGGGAAGCCGGUGAAGGUCGUGGAUUUCCCCAACGACCCACACGGGUUCUUCACGCAGGACCCGUGGUCCGAGACCACCGGCGAGCUGAUCCGGCUCGUCAGCGUGUUCGUCGUCGACAGCUGCGUCUCCGUCGCGGCGCCAAAGACCGCUUGA
RNAcentral lists this ribosomal RNA (1050 nucleotides) under Triticum aestivum (bread wheat). RNAcentral describes it as "partial small subunit ribosomal RNA". The record is from RNAcentral. Lineage: Eukaryota; Viridiplantae; Streptophyta; Magnoliopsida; Poales; Poaceae.